This 253-nucleotide ribosomal RNA is filed under the name uncultured bacterium. RNAcentral's name for it is "partial 16S ribosomal RNA". It matches the Rfam family "Bacterial small subunit ribosomal RNA", at positions 524 to 776 of the family's 1533-position model. The record is from RNAcentral.
GACAGAGGGGGCAAGCGUUGCUCGGAAUCACUGGGCGUAAAGGGCGCGUAGGCGGGAUGGCAAGUCAGUCGUGAAAUCUCUCGGCUCAACCGAGAAACGUCGGCUGAUACUGCCGUUCUUGAGGGAUGCAGAGGAGACUGGAAUUCCCGGUGUAGCGGUGAAAUGUGUAGAUAUCAGGAGGAACACCGGUGGCGAAGGCGGGUCUCUGGGCAACAACUGACGCUGAGGAGCGAAAGCGUGGGGAGCGAACAGG